CCUUGCCCGUAUUGGGUAGAACAGGGACAUCUUUUUCUUUGGGCCGAAUGAUUGGAAUUGUUUCCGUAGUCGCUGGAGCCCCAGCGGAAAUGAUCAGAGAGGACGAUAUUAUUCGUAAAUUUAGGCGAAAGGGUCACAUUUCACCCCAAUCUGGAUGUGUGCUUGCCGUAAUCGAUUGGUUGCAGCUAUUAACUCUGGGACUGGGUGGUUUGAGGCGAGGCUACAGCCCCUCCUUCAGUUCAGACACGGCUGAUUUUAGUAUAGUGGGGGUGGGGGGUGGGGGAUGGAUGUCACUAGGGCGAGAUCUAGGCCUGUCAUUAAUCACCCACAAGAACGCCACUUUGGCUGAGUCAAGACCUGUUUCCCUAGCAGGGUCAACAACAAAGAAAAUGCUCUUCCCGAGUACUGUAAUAUGAUCACACUAUAAGUCUAGACCUUGAGAAAUGUUGAACUUUUAAUAAGCAUAUUGCAUUGAAAAUUGGGGCUGAGGAGUUGCUUUUAUUUGGAAAUGUUUUAUUUUUGCCCAACAAAGUAUGCUGGGGGAAAACAACCUAGCCUUGAGAAUAAUGAAGAAAUCAACCCAAGAUUCCAAGGGACUUCAGACUUUUGCUUUUCAUCUUGAAACAUUUCCUGAGAGAGACUGGGGAAUGUCUUUUGGCUGCUUUGUAGGGCAUGUGUAUGCCCAGUUUUUUCUGUACUUUGAAAUCCUUGUGUGCCCCUGGCACAAUCCUAGGAUAGGCUUUUGUGGACUAGAAGUGUAAAUGUUUCCUUUGUGUGUAGCAUGCAAAGAUUUCUGUGUGAGCCUUUAGUAAUAAUAUCACCCUUUAGACAAAGCCUUUCCAUAGCUUGAUUUAAAUGUCUCGUUAUCAGUAGCUUAAAAAACCGAAGUAUAUACCUCUGUAUUUGGUGACUUC
Molecule: long non-coding RNA, 914 nt
Filed under: Homo sapiens (human)
Lineage: Eukaryota; Metazoa; Chordata; Mammalia; Primates; Hominidae
Description: non-protein coding lnc-RARS2-4:1
Source: RNAcentral